Molecule: ribosomal RNA, 311 nt
Filed under: uncultured eukaryote
Lineage: Eukaryota
Description: partial 18S ribosomal RNA
Rfam family: Eukaryotic small subunit ribosomal RNA
Source: RNAcentral
CCCCUAGACGUUCUGGGCUGCACGCGCGCUACAAUAAUACGCACAGCGAGUAUCACCGAGCUCGAAAGGGCAAGGUAAACAAUAGAAAAGGUACUGUAAUGGUUAUAGAUCCUUGUAAUUAUUGAUCUUCAACGAGGAAUUCCUAGUAAGUAUGUGUCAUCAUCACGCACUGAUUGCGUCCCUGCCCUUUGUACACACCGCCCGUCGCUCCUACCGAUUGAGUGAGCCGAUGAAACUGCCGGAUGUGGACUAUUCAUAGUCUGCAGAAGAUAUUUGAAUCGUAGCGCUUAGAGGAAGGAGAAGUCGUAACA